UAGGGAAUCUUCCACAAUGGACGAGAGUCUGAUGGAGCAACGCCGCGUGAGUGAAGAAGGGUUUCGGCUCGUAAAACUCUGUUGUUAAAGAAGAACAUAUCUGAGAGUAACUGUUCAGGUAUUGACGGUAUUUAACCAGAAAGCCACGGCUAACUACGUGCCAG
This 164-nucleotide ribosomal RNA is filed under the name uncultured bacterium. Its description in RNAcentral is "partial 16S rRNA". It matches the Rfam family "Bacterial small subunit ribosomal RNA", at positions 355 to 511 of the family's 1533-position model. The record is from RNAcentral.